RNAcentral lists this ribosomal RNA (253 nucleotides) under uncultured Agrobacterium sp. RNAcentral describes it as "partial 16S ribosomal RNA". It matches the Rfam family "Bacterial small subunit ribosomal RNA", at positions 524 to 776 of the family's 1533-position model. Lineage: Bacteria; Pseudomonadati; Pseudomonadota; Alphaproteobacteria; Hyphomicrobiales; Rhizobiaceae. The record is from RNAcentral.
UACGAAGGGGGCUAGCGUUGUUCGGAAUUACUGGGCGUAAAGCGCACGUAGGCGGACAUUUAAGUCAGGAGUGAAAUCCCGGAGCUCAACUCCGGAACUGCCUUUGAUACUGGGUGUCUUGAGUAUGGAAGAGGUUAGUGGAAUUGCGAGUGUAGAGGUGAAAUUCGUAGAUAUUCGCAGGAACACCAGUGGCGAAGGCGGCUAACUGGUCCAUAACUGACGCUGAGGUGCGAAAGCGUGGGGAGCAAACAGG